AGAGUUUGAUCCUGGCUCAGAAUCAACGUUGGCGGCGUGCCUAACACAUGCAAGUCGAACGGGAAAACAGGGGCAACUCUGUGAGUACAGUGGCGUACGGGUGAGUAACACGUGACUACCUACCUUUGAGUGGGGGAUAACCCCGGGAAACCGGGGCUAAUACCGCAUAACAUCGCAAGAUCAAAGGAGCAAUCCGCUUAAAGAGGGGGUCGCGGCUGAUUAGCUAGUCGGUGAGGUAACGGCUCACCAAGGCGAUGAUCGGUAGCCGGCCUGAGAGGGCGCACGGCCACACUGGAACUGAAACACGGUCCAGACUCCUACGGGAGGCAGCAGUGGGGAAUUUUGCGCAAUGGGGGAAACCCUGACGCAGCAACGCCGCGUGGAGGAUGAAGUCCCUUGGGACGUAAACUCCUUUCGACCCGGACGAUAAUGACGGUACGGGUGGAAGAAGCACCGGCUAACUUCGUGCCAGCAGCCGCGGUAAUACGAGGGGUGCAAGCGUUGUUCGGAAUUAUUGGGCGUAAAGGGCGCGUAGGCGGU
Molecule: ribosomal RNA, 540 nt
Filed under: uncultured Acidobacteriota bacterium
Lineage: Bacteria; Pseudomonadati; Acidobacteriota
Description: bacterial SSU rRNA
Rfam family: Bacterial small subunit ribosomal RNA
Source: RNAcentral